AUUAUUACAUCCGAUAUUUUUUGUAUCAGCGUAAUCUCCAGUGAUAUCAUUGCAACCACCAUAGAACUGUUUCAUUAACCAUUGUAUUUGCCUGUUACACUGUCAAUAAGAAUUCAAUAACAGAAGGAUUCUCUCUAUUUGUUCCAAGAGACUCAUCGUGACACAAGAUGUGGCAAGGAUGGCCCUUUGAAUUGCAGGUACAACUCAUUUCUGCCAGCUAAGUGGACUGGAGCAACAUGAAUUAAAGUCUUCUGUUCAAGGACACAACGAGCCGCCGGCAAUGGAACUCAUAAUCUGCAAGUUUUGAAGAGUGCAGUUCGAUUUUAACAGCUAAUUUUUCAAAGCUAUAAUGGAAGUGACUUCAUAAAUUCAGUAAAGACAAGAACGCAACGGAAGCUGCGAGGAAUAUUAAUGCAGUAUAUGGGGAUCAGACAAUAAGCGUAAGCCAGUGUCAACGGUAGUUCCAGAAAUUCCGUGCCGGAAACUACAGCCUAGAAGAUGAGCCUUGUCCUGGAAGAUCUGCAGAACUUGACGAGAACGUCUUGCAGGCCCUGGUGGAACAAAAUCUCAUCGUUACUUGGAUUUGGUCAUUCAAUAUAGCGCACUUUUCUGUCCCAAAUUCCACACCUAUGUCAUCUGAGGAAAAUGCGGGUGUGGUCUAUUACUUUAUUGUUCUCGUCCUAUUUUAAUGACUCGGAUGAAAAUCGAUCUUUAUUCACAUUUUAACGACUGAACCUCCAAUUUUUGAUUUAAUUACAUGAAAUAGAGAAUACGACCAAAAGUUCACUUAAUCGAAUCUAUCCAGCUUCAGUGAUGUUAAGCUCUGAAAGAAAUAUACUUUCGCAGGAACAUUCUCAACCUUUUUCAAUCUGUGUUAGAAAUUUUUUUUUUUUUUUU
Molecule: long non-coding RNA, 897 nt
Organism: Octopus bimaculoides (California two-spot octopus)
Lineage: Eukaryota; Metazoa; Mollusca; Cephalopoda; Octopoda; Octopodidae
Source: RefSeq, a predicted model, not a curated record